GUGCCAGCCGCCGCGGUAAUACGUAGGGGGCAAGCGUUGUUCGGAAUUACUGGGCGUAAAGGGCGCGUAGGCGGCAGGAGAAGUCGGGAGUGAAAGCCCGGGGCUCAACCCCGGAACGUCUCUCGAAACUGACCAGCUAGAGUGCGGAAGAUGCAACUGGAAUUCCCAGUGUAGCGGUGAAAUGCGUAGAUAUUGGGAAGAACACCUGAGGCGAAGGCGGGUUGCUGGGCUGAUACUGACGCUGAGGCGCGAAAGCUAGGGGAGCGAACGGGAUUAGAUACCCCCGUAGUCC
Molecule: ribosomal RNA, 292 nt
Filed under: uncultured bacterium
Lineage: Bacteria
Description: partial 16S ribosomal RNA
Rfam family: Bacterial small subunit ribosomal RNA
Source: RNAcentral